Molecule: ribosomal RNA, 527 nt
Filed under: Hapsidospora flava
Lineage: Eukaryota; Fungi; Ascomycota; Sordariomycetes; Hypocreales; Bionectriaceae
Description: Acremonium flavum partial large subunit ribosomal RNA
Rfam family: Eukaryotic large subunit ribosomal RNA
Source: RNAcentral
GAAAUCUGGCCCCCCGGCCCGAGUUGUAAUUUGCAGAGGAUGCUUCUGGCGACGCGCCUUCCGAGUUCCCUGGAACGGGACGCCACAGAGGGUGAGAGCCCCGUCCGGUCGUGCGCCUAGCCUGUGUGAAGCUCCUUCGACGAGUCGAGUAGUUUGGGAAUGCUGCUCUAAAUGGGAGGUAUACGUCUUCUAAAGCUAAAUACCGGCCAGAGACCGAUAGCGCACAAGUAGAGUGAUCGAAAGAUGAAAAGCACUUUGAAAAGAGGGUUAAAUAGUACGUGAAAUUGCUGAAAGGGAAGCGCUUAUGACCAGACUUGGGCCCGGUGAAUCACCCAGCGUUCUCGCUGGUGCACUUUGCCGGCCCAGGCCAGCAUCAGUUCGCGCCGGGGGAUAAAGGCUUCGGGAAUGUAGCUCCCUCGGGAGUGUUAUAGACCGUUGCGCAAUACCCUGGGGCGGACUGAGGUACGCGUUCUGCAAGGAUGCUGGCGUAAUGGUCAUCAGUGACCCGUCUUGAAACCCGGGGCCCA